Molecule: ribosomal RNA, 340 nt
Filed under: uncultured Pseudomonas sp.
Lineage: Bacteria; Pseudomonadati; Pseudomonadota; Gammaproteobacteria; Pseudomonadales; Pseudomonadaceae
Description: bacterial SSU rRNA
Rfam family: Bacterial small subunit ribosomal RNA
Source: RNAcentral
CAUGGCUGUCGUCAGCUCGUGUCGUGAGAUGUUGGGUUAAGUCCGUAACGAGCGCAACCCUUGUCCUUAGUUACCAGCACGUUAUGGUGGGCGACUCUAAGGAGACUGCCGGUGACAAACCGGAGGAAGGUGGGGAGUGACGUCAAGUCAUCAUGGCCCUUACGGCCUGGGCUACACACGUGCUACAAUGGUCGGUACAAAGGGUUGCCAAGCCGCGAGGUGGAGCUAAUCCCAUAAAACCGAUCGUAGUCCGGAUCGCAGUCUGCAACUCGACUGCGUGAAGUCGGAAUCGCUAGUAAUCGUGAAUCAGAAUGUCACGGUGAAUACGUUCCCGGGCCUU